Molecule: non-coding RNA, 439 nt
Organism: Pelobates cultripes (western spadefoot toad)
Lineage: Eukaryota; Metazoa; Chordata; Amphibia; Anura; Pelobatidae
Source: the annotation of a GenBank genome assembly
CAGUGUAUGAAUGUGACAGUUAUUGAGUCAAACGGUGUAGGAAUGUGACAGUUAUUGGGUCUGAUGGUGUAUGACUGUGAUAGUUAUUGGGUCAGACUGUGUAUGAAUAUGGCAGUUAUUGGGUCAGACAGUGUAUGAAUGUGACAGUUAUUGAGUCAGACGGUGUAUGAAUGUGACAGUUAUUGGGUCGUACGGUGUAUGAAUGUGACAGUUAUUGGGUCAGACAGUGUAUGAAUGUGACAGUUAUUUGGUCUGAUGGUGUAUGACUGUGAUAGUUAUUGGGUCAGACUGUGUAUGAAUGUGACAGUUAUUGGAUCAGACGGUGUAUGAAUGUGAGUUUUUAGGUCGGACAGUGUAUGAAUGGUACAGUUAUUGGGUCAGACGGUGUUUGAAUGUGACAGUUCUUGGGUCUGACGGUGUAUGAAUGUGACAGUUAUUG